AACGAACGCUGGCGGCAUGCCUAACACAUGCAAGUCGAACGAGACCUUCGGGUCUAGUGGCGCACGGGUGCGUAACGCGUGGGAACCUGCCCUUAGGUUCGGAAUAACUCCCCGAAAGGGGUGCUAAUACCGGAUAAUGUCUUCGGACCAAAGAUUUAUCGCCUUUGGAUGGGCCCGGGUUGGAUUAGCUAGUUGGUAGGGUAAAAGCCUACCAAGGAGACGAUCCAUAGCUGGUCUGAGAGGAUGAUAAGCCACACUGGGACUGAGACACGGCCCAGACUCCUACGGGAGGCAGCAGUGGGGUAUAUUGGACAAUGGGCGAAAGCCUGAUCCAGCAAUGCCGCGUGAGUGAUGAAGGCCUUAGGGUUGUAAAGCUCUUUUACCCGGGAUGAUAAUGACAGUACCGGGAGAAUAAGCUCCGGCUAACUCCGUG
This 433-nucleotide ribosomal RNA is filed under the name uncultured bacterium. RNAcentral's name for it is "partial 16S ribosomal RNA". It matches the Rfam family "Bacterial small subunit ribosomal RNA", at positions 29 to 507 of the family's 1533-position model. The record is from RNAcentral.